RNAcentral lists this long non-coding RNA (2669 nucleotides) under Pelobates cultripes (western spadefoot toad). The record is from RNAcentral. Lineage: Eukaryota; Metazoa; Chordata; Amphibia; Anura; Pelobatidae.
UUUUUAUUAAGUUUUAUAAUUUUUAAUUUUUCCCUUUUCUCACUGUAGCUGUCUGGAGUUCUCCUCUAUACCUGGUGGAUUUUGCACAUUCAGAAGGUGUUGUUGCUUCAUUAGUUUAAAGUCUGUUGAUUUAUUUGAUAACAUUAUCAAAAAGUGUUGUAAUUGUAUAAUGAAAAACUAACACAAGGUUAUUUCAUUUUGGCACUAUUAACUAUACCAGGGGUAGGCAACCUACGGCACUAGUGCCAUGCACGGCACUCGAGGUGUCUUUGUACGGCACUCAAGGCUGCUAGAGCCAAACAGGCUCUGGCCUAUCAGGAGUCCCAGUAAAACUUAAAAUAUCUUCUAAUACGAAAAGGUGGUGAAGGACAAUCCUCAACUUAAGCAUUGCAGCACAUAGAGGAAAUGAUCUCAGAUCACUUGCUCCAAGCACUUGUGAAUGGGAAUCCACACCGUAGUAGAGCAGCCUGCAGCUGCUGUUGCAGCUCCUGUCUUUGACCUGUACCAGGCCAGCCUGGUCCCCACUGGAACCCACCCACACUGCUAGAUAUACACAGAUAUUGUGGAUCAAACCAAGUGUUUAUCUGAGUAUCUGCUCCUUUCCAAAUUGUUAAAAUAAAUGCGUGCACACUCUGAAGUAAAUCACACUGAGAUACAGGUAUCAGGUUAAUGAAAAACUUCGGAAUGUUUACUCAGGGGGUGGCAAGCCCUUUAUAAAGGCAAAAAUACAUCAAAUGCAAAAAUGUAGAUAACAGAGAGAAUACAUCUUUAACUGGUUAGGUGUUAAGUGUCUUAUCUAAUGCACAUCCUACGAGGUGUGAUGUCACCAUCAUCCCGAGAUUUUACUCCGGAUGUAGGUGCCAUCUUGUUACACGAGGUAGUUAGUCAGUGGGAGGGGGUGCUCUAGCAGCCAUUUUGAGUAGAUAUUGAAUACAGGUAUACACAGUAAAUAGACAUUUUACUAUCACUAAUUUACAUUCAUAACACAGAAAUGAAGAAUAACCCUCCCCUUAUACAAAUAAUACGAACAGCCCACACACAAACAUACACACAAUCUGCACAAACGUAACCCGCUAACAAUCCACAUACAUGCACACAACCCCACAUGCAGCCUCUCAAAUGCAAUACCCCAAACAGCCCACACCCACUACCAAACACACAAUGUGACAUAUCCAUCCACACACAAUUCCACAAGCAGCCCUGAUGCACAGCACACAUUCAUAUGUAUCAUACACAAUACCAUAAACUACUAAUGAACUUAUACAAUAUAAUAGCUUAUAUACGCACAGAUACAACAAUGCAAAGCAACUGCAGUAAAAAUAACACAAGCAGAAUACGGCAGCAUACACACCUCAAUUUAAAAAAAUAGGACCGGCACGCUACGGGACAUCACAAUCCUAUAUCUGCACAGUGCUGCUAAAAGGUUGCCUACCCCUACCAUUGACUCUUAUUAUGUAUAAAAAAGAUAUCUGUAUAGUGAAUCAUGCUUAAUACCAAAGUAUUACAAUUUUACAUUUAUAAUUGCUUUUUUAUCCUCAUAAAUUCAUAGUGGGACUUGAACACUGUAUAUGGACGUUUCCCACUCCUGAGGGCAACAGAAAAUUAUUUCGGACGCACGCUGCGUGCGCAUACCCGGAAGUCAACAUACGACCCAGAUGUGAAAAGACCUCCGCCUGCAACCCGGAAGUGAUGCGCAAGGUGCAGCGAAAAUUCAAUUGAAGAUGGAUAUAAAACGCCACGGAAAGCCGGUUAACUUUUAUUGUGCACUGAGGAAGACUUGAUUGAAGUCGAAACGCGUUUGCCAACCAUUUGUUUUGUGUACAUUUUAUACAUUCUUGUUCAUAUUAUUACUGUACAGGCUUCACUAUGUAUUGUAAAAUUUAUCUUUGAUAGAUUCUAUGAGAGGAAGAUGCUCCUAAUUACAAGACACGAUUGUUGGGAAGUAUUAUUAUCACAUUGGGUGGUGUAUACGUGUGGUAAUAUUAUUAUGACUGGUACUGUUUCAUAUAUUCUUAAGGUGAUUGGGAACACCUAUAGUUUUACACACUCUGCUAAGAAUUGUGAAGCACCCAGACACCUUUAAACUCUUUGAGUUUUGCUUUGUUUUUAGAACACUUAAUUAGCCUAUUCAAAUUUGGGAAUCCAACAAUUGGCCUUAAUCAGAGAGAGAUAUUUAUUUAUUUAAGACUGAAACACAUCCUCACACAACACAAGAUUAAGGGAGUGGAGAAACACAUGAUGGGUGAGUUUGGGAAACUUUGUAAAGGAGGAAUAAGGAAAGCUAGACCAUUGUCGGUUUCUUACAGAGGAUUAUUGCACCAUAGCAAACCUAUAAAACAGCAAUACGUGCAGCAAUGGGAACGUGAAUUGCAAUGUACGAUUGAAUCAAAGCAGUGGCACUGCACGGUGUGGAUGACCAACUACUGCCUGGAUCACAUGGAAGCCACUAGCAAAAUAUGGAUUAGAUGUUAUUUAAUGCCACAAAGAUUGGCCCAUAUUUAUGAGGAAACUUCACUACUAUGUUGGAAAUGUGAAAGGGAUCUUUUGGCAUUGUCACUGACUAAAACCAUUUUAGACACAGAUCCAACAUUUAAUUCUAUCAACGGUAGGGAGGAACCUCCCCCUUCAACCAGAUAUAUAUCUCAUGAACAUUUUACCCAAGGAUAUAG